GACACCAAUUGCCGAACAAACAGGUAAACAUUUACAUCAUGCUAAUUUGCAGCAGUUUACUAUCAUGAAAGCAAUUUAUAUUGUUUAACAAAAGAUCCUUAGUGAACUGCAAAUGAGGCUUGGAAUAUUUAGUUAGUUUAAAGCAGCAACACAAUUAAUUUACACUUUUGAUUUAAAAGUGCUAAAGAGCUUCCUCUUUAUUUGUUUACAGAGAGAGUGACAUCAUUAGAGCUGUGUGUUGUGUUCAGAGAGUGACAUCAUUAUAGCUGUGUGUUGUGUUCAGAGAGUGACAUCAUUAGAGCUGUGUGUUGUGUUCAGAGAGUGACAUCAUUAGAGCUGUGAUAAGGAAGAUAGGCUAGGGAUUUACAGUAGCUAUUGUUUAUUACUGGGUAGAUACAGUAUAGUAUAUUCUAGAGGUUAUUAUUGGGUAGAUACAGUAUAGUAUAUUCUAGAGGUUAUUACUGGGUAGAUACUGGUCCUGUAGCUCAGUUGGUAGAGCAUGGCGCUUGUAACGCCAGGGUAGUGGGUUCGAUCCCCGGGACCACCCAUACGUAGAAUGUAUGCACACAUGACUGUAAGUCGCUUUGGAUAAAAGCGUCUGCUAAAUGGCAUAUAUUAUUAUUAUUAUUAUUACAGUAUAGUAUAUUCUAGAGGUUAUUAUUGGGUAGAUACAGUAUAGUAUAUUCUAGAGGUUAUUACUGGGUAGAUACAGUAUAGUAUAUUCUAGAGGUUAUUACUGGGUAGAUACAGUAUAGCAUAUUCUAGAGGUUAUUACUGGGUAGAUACAGUAUAGUAUAUUCUAGAGGUUAUUACUGGGUAGAUACAGUAUAGUAUAUUCUAGAGGUUAUUAUUGGGUAGACACAGUAUAGUAUAUUCUAGAGGUUAUUACUGGGUAGAUACAGUAUAGUAUAUUCUAGAGGUUAUUAUUGGGUAGAUACAGUAUAGUAUAUUCUAGAGGUUAUUACUGGGUAGAUACAGUAUAGUAUAUUCUAGAGGUUAUUACUGGGUAGAUACAGUAUAGUAUAUUCUAGAGGUUAUUACUGGGUAGAUACAGUAUAGUAUAUUCUAGAGGUUAUUAUUGGGUAGAUACAGUAUAGUAUAUUCUAGAGGUUAUUAUUGGGUAGAUACAGUAUAGUAUAUUCUAGAGGUUAUUAUUGGGUAGAUACAGUAUAGUAUAUUCUAGAGGUUAUUAUUGGGUAGAUACAGUAUAGUAUAUUCUAGAGGUUAUUAUUGGGUAGAUACAGUAUAGUAUAUUCUAGAGGUUAUUAUUGGGUAGAUACAGUAUAGUAUAUUCUAGAGGUUAUUAUUGGGUAGAUACAGUAUAGUAUAUUCUAGAGGUUAUUAUUGGGUAGAUACAGUAUAGUAUAUUCUAGAGGUUAUUAUUGGGUAGAUACAGUAUAGUAUAUUCUAGAGGUUAUUACUGGGUAGAUACAGUAUAGUAUAUUCUAGAGGUUAUUACUGGGUAGAUACAGUAUAGCAUAUUCUAGAGGUUAUUACUGGGUAGAUACAGUAUAGUAUAUUCUAGAGGUUAUUACUGGGUAGAUACAGUAUAGUAUAUUCUAGAGGUUAUUAUUGGGUAGACACAGUAUAGUAUAUUCUAGAGGUUAUUACUGGGUAGAUACAGUAUAGUAUAUUCUAGAGGUUAUUAUUGGGUAGAUACAGUAUAGUAUAUUCUAGAGGUUAUUACUGGGUAGAUACAGUAUAGUAUAUUCUAGAGGUUAUUACUGGGUAGAUACAGUAUAGUAUAUUCUAGAGGUUAUUACUGGGUAGAUACAGUAUAGUAUAUUCUAGAGGUUAUUAUUGGGUAGAUACAGUAUAGUAUAUUCUAGAGGUUAUUAUUGGGUAGAUACAGUAUAGUAUAUUCUAGAGGUUAUUAUUGGGUAGAUACAGUAUAGUAUAUUCUAGAGGUUAUUAUUGGGUAGAUACAGUAUAGUAUAUUCUAGAGGUUAUUAUUGGGUAGAUACAGUAUAGUAUAUUCUAGAGGUUAUUAUUGGGUAGAUACAGUAUAGUAUAUUCUAGAGGUUAUUAUUGGGUAGAUACAGUAUAGUAUAUUCUAGAGGUUAUUAUUGGGUAGAUACAGUAUAGUAUAUUCUAGAGGUUAUUAUUGGGUAGAUACAGUAUAGUAUAUUCUAGAGGUUAUUA
Long non-coding RNA from Oncorhynchus keta (chum salmon), 2142 nucleotides. RefSeq lists it as uncharacterized. Lineage: Eukaryota; Metazoa; Chordata; Actinopteri; Salmoniformes; Salmonidae. The transcript is spliced from 5 exons. The record is from RefSeq and is a predicted model, not a curated record.